Long non-coding RNA from Callithrix jacchus (white-tufted-ear marmoset), 644 nucleotides. RefSeq lists it as uncharacterized. Lineage: Eukaryota; Metazoa; Chordata; Mammalia; Primates; Cebidae. The record is from RefSeq and is a predicted model, not a curated record.
CCUCGAAGCCAGCUGGGAAUAGCUAGCAGGCUUUUAAUUAUUAUUUAUGAAUUCAUCAGAAAGAAAUAUUGACUUCUAAUUAAAGGCAGAAAAUUACUCCUGGAAUAAAUUGAUAAAGGUUCAAGCGAUUCUCCUGCUUCAGCUUCCCGAAAAGCUGGAUUACAGGUACCUGCUACUGCACCCAGCUAGAUUUUUACAAAUUUUAUAAAAGCUAUGAAAAUAUCAACACAUUCCUCGGGUCCCUCUCAUGGUCUUGGAAGGGGGCUGUGCAAAUGAAGGCCCUGGAGUUUAACUCAGUGACUUUCUGGCAAAUCCUACUGGGCUUGAGAUAAAGAAGAGAGAUUGGAAGAUAAAAGAAACAAAAAGAAAACAAGUAGGACUGAGAAACAAAUGAAGAUUGACAGUCUAUCCUUGACUCCACUGUCUACCCAUUACUGUCAUGUGAGACAAGAAGACCUGGAACUGAAAGCAUCCUCCAAGGAAGUGCUGAUCCUGGGCAAGGUUGACAGAUUCAGCAAAUAAAAAUGCAGGAUGCCUACUUCAAUUUGAAUUUCAGAUGAACAAAGUGGAGUCUCCGUGAUGGACAGCAACUAUGGGACAUUUUCUCACCGCCACCCUCCAACUGCAUAGGAAGAAACUUUCAG